RNAcentral lists this long non-coding RNA (1158 nucleotides) under Mytilus galloprovincialis (Mediterranean mussel). The record is from RNAcentral. Lineage: Eukaryota; Metazoa; Mollusca; Bivalvia; Mytilida; Mytilidae.
CAUAUUAUAUACCUAUAGAAAUGUGUAAGUAUAUUAAGUAGCUACAACUGAUAUAAUAUAUACCUAUAGAAAUGUGUAAGUAUAUUAAGUAGCCACAACUGAUAUAAUAUAUACCUAUAGAAAUGUGUAAGUAUAUUAAGUAGCUACAACUGAUAUAAUAAUGGUUUUUUUAAAUGAACUUACUAAAACUAUCCUAACAGAUAUAUAUAUAUACAUGUUGUAUUACUAACAAUAACAAGAUAUACCUCUACUACAAAUCAUUAUGAAAAUUCAAAUUCAGUGGUACAUGUAUCUGUUUUAAGACUUAUAUGGGUAGUUUAACAUGAAACAUUUAAAUACUUGACCAUUGAUAUAACAUGAAUAUAAAAAAAUCAAUUUACCAUUAUUACAUAACAAAGGACUACAGUUGGAUCUUAGCUUUAAAAUAAAACUACAUUGUUAUCAUGAUAAUAAAAUAUAGAAGUCAGAUAGAACUACUUUUUCUCUAAUUUUGACCUUUACAGUUAAAGUGACCUACUUCUCAUUAUGUAUCAUCUUCAGGUUAAAAAUGAUAUCAUUACUUAUACAUGUUAUAGUCAUGGAGGUAUGAUUUUAUUGGUCGGUGUUUAACGCCAUUUUCAGCACUAUUGACACUAGUACUUAUAGUCAUGGAGAUAUGGUUUGAUUGAUUGGUGUUAAAAACUACUUUCAGCACUAUUGAUGCUAGUACUUAUAGUCGUGGAGAUAUGAUUUGAUUGAUCGGUGUUUAACGCCACUUUCAGCACUAUUGAUACUAGUACUUAUAGUCAUGGAGAUAUGAUUUGAUUGAUUGGUGUUUAACGCCACUUUCAGCACUAUUGAUCCCAGUACUUAUAGUCAUGGAGAUAUGAUUUGAUUGAUCGGUGUUUAACGCCACUUUUAGCAAUAUUGAUCCCAGUACUUAGUCAUGGAGAUAUGAUAUGAUUAAUUGGUGUUUAACGACACUUUCAGCACUAUUGAUACUUGUACUUAUAGUCAUGAAUAUAUAAUUAGAUUGAUUGGUGUUUAACGCCACUUUCAGCACUAUUAAUCCCAGUACUUAUAGUCAUGGAGAUAUGAUUUGAUUGAUUGGUGUUUAACGCCACUUUCAGCACUAUUGAUACUAGUACUUUUAGUCAUGGAGAUAUGAUUUGAUUGAUU